UAGGGAAUCUUGGCCAAUGGGCGAAAGCCUGAUCCAGCCAUGCCGCGUGAGUGAAGAAGGCCCUAGGGUUGUAAAGCUCUUUUGGCGGGGACGAUAAUGACGGUACCCGCAGAAUAAGCCCCGGCUAACUUCGUGCCAGCAGCCGCGGUAAUACGAAGGGGGCUAGCGUUGUUCGGAAUUACUGGGCGUAAAGCGCACGCAGGCGGAUUGGUUAGUUAGAGGUGAAUUCCCGGGGCUCAACCUCGGAAUUGCCUUUGAUACUGCCAGUCUUGAGUUCGGGAGAGGUGGGUGGAAUUCCUAGUGUAGAGGUGAAAUUCGUAGAUAUUAGGAAGAACACCGGUGGCGAAGGCGGCCAUCUGGUCCGGUACUGACGCUGAGGCGCGAAAGCGUGGGGAGCAAACAGGAUUAGAUACCCCCGUAGUCC
Molecule: ribosomal RNA, 424 nt
Filed under: uncultured prokaryote
Description: bacterial SSU rRNA
Rfam family: Bacterial small subunit ribosomal RNA
Source: RNAcentral